Molecule: ribosomal RNA, 870 nt
Filed under: Alteromonas sp. N75(2010)
Lineage: Bacteria; Pseudomonadati; Pseudomonadota; Gammaproteobacteria; Alteromonadales; Alteromonadaceae
Description: bacterial SSU rRNA
Rfam family: Bacterial small subunit ribosomal RNA
Source: RNAcentral
UGACGAGUGGCGGACGGGUGAGUAAUGCUUGGGAACUUGCCUUUGCGAGGGGGAUAACAGUUGGAAACGACUGCUAAUACCGCAUAAUGUCUACGGACCAAACGGGGCUUAGGCUCCGGCGCAAAGAGAGGCCCAAGUGAGAUUAGCUAGUUGGUAAGGUAAAGGCUUACCAAGGCAACGAUCUCUAGCUGUUCUGAGAGGAAGAUCAGCCACACUGGAACUGAGACACGGUCCAGACUCCUACGGGAGGCAGCAGUGGGGAAUAUUGCACAAUGGGGGAAACCCUGAUGCAGCCAUGCCGCGUGUGUGAAGAAGGCCUUCGGGUUGUAAAGCACUUUCAGUUGUGAGGAAAAGUUAGUAGUUAAUACCUGCUAGCCGUGACGUUAACAACAGAAGAAGCACCGGCUAACUCCGUGCCAGCAGCCGCGGUAAUACGGAGGGUGCGAGCGUUAAUCGGAAUUACUGGGCGUAAAGCGCACGCAGGCGGUUUGUUAAGCUAGAUGUGAAAGCCCCGGGCUCAACCUGGGAUGGUCAUUUAGAACUGGCAGACUAGAGUCUUGGAGAGGGGAGUGGAAUUCCAGGUGUAGCGGUGAAAUGCGUAGAUAUCUGGAGGAACAUCAGUGGCGAAGGCGACUCCCUGGCCAAAGACUGACGCUCAUGUGCGAAAGUGUGGGUAGCGAACAGGAUUAGAUACCCUGGUAGUCCACACCGUAAACGCUGUCUACUAGCUGUUUGUGACUUUAAGUCGUGAGUAGCGAAGCUAACGCGCUAAGUAGACCGCCUGGGGAGUACGGCCGCAAGGUUAAAACUCAAAUGAAUUGACGGGGGCCCGCACAAGCGGUGGAGCAUGUGGUUUAAUUCGAUGCAACG